Molecule: ribosomal RNA, 253 nt
Filed under: uncultured bacterium
Lineage: Bacteria
Description: partial 16S ribosomal RNA
Rfam family: Bacterial small subunit ribosomal RNA
Source: RNAcentral
UACGGAGGGGGCUAGCGUUGUUCGGAAUUACUGGGCGUAAAGCGCGCGUAGGCGGCAUCGCAAGUCGGGUGUGAAAUCCCCAGGCUUAACCUGGGAACUGCAUUCGAGACUGCAUUGCUAGAGUAUGGGAGAGGGAAGUGGAAUUUCCGGUGUAGCGGUGAAAUGCGUAGAUAUCGGAAGGAACAUCAGUGGCGAAAGCGACUUCCUGGACCAAUACUGACGCUCAUGUGCGAAAGCGUGGGGAGCAAACAGG